GAUGAACGCUGGCGGCGUGCCUAAUACAUGCAAGUCGAGCGAACAGACGAGGAGCUUGCUCCUUUGACGUUAGCGGCGGACGGGUGAGUAACACGUGGGUAACCUACCUAUAAGACUGGGAUAACUUCGGGAAACCGGAGCUAAUACCGGAUAAUAUUUCGAACCGCAUGGUUCGAUAGUGAAAGAUGGCUUUGCUAUCACUUAUAGAUGGACCUGCGCCGUAUUAGCUAGUUGGUAAGGUAACGGCUUACCAAGGCAACGAUACGUAGCCGACCUGAGAGGGUGAUCGGCCACACUGGAACUGAGACACGGUCCAGACUCCUACGGGAGGCAGCAGUAGGGAAUCUUCCGCAAUGGGCGAAAGCCUGACGGAGCAACGCCGCGUGAGAGAUGAAGGUCUUCGGAUCGUAAAACUCUGUUAUUAGGGAAGAACAAACGUGUAAGUAACUGAGCACGUCUUGACGGUAACUAAUAAGAAAGCCACGGCUAACUACGUG
This 497-nucleotide ribosomal RNA is filed under the name uncultured bacterium. RNAcentral describes it as "partial 16S ribosomal RNA". It matches the Rfam family "Bacterial small subunit ribosomal RNA", at positions 28 to 507 of the family's 1533-position model. The record is from RNAcentral.